GGGUCAGUAGGUUGGUCGUGCCACCGGUACGUACUGGUCUCACUGAUUCCUCCUUCCUGAAGAACCGUAAUGCCAUUAAUUUGGUGUUGCGGGGGAAACCGGACUGUUACUUUGAAAAAAUUAGAGUGUUUAAAGCAAGCUAACGCUUGAAUACAUUAGCAUGGAAUAAUGAAAUAGGACGAUCGAUCCUAUUUUGUUGGUUUCUAGGAUUGACGUA
This 217-nucleotide ribosomal RNA is filed under the name Glomeromycotina sp. Its description in RNAcentral is "partial small subunit ribosomal RNA". The stretch from base 32 to 217 matches the Rfam family "Eukaryotic small subunit ribosomal RNA", at positions 677 to 864 of the family's 1831-position model. Lineage: Eukaryota; Fungi; Glomeromycota. The record is from RNAcentral.